AGGCAGAAAUGCGUAGUCGAUGGGAAACAGGUCAAUAUUCCUGUACCAGGCCAUGAUGCGAUGGGGGGACGGAGAAGGUUAGGCUGGCCGGGUGUUGGACGUCCCGGUUUAAGCGUGUAGGCGUGCCCGAUAGGCAAAUCCGUCGGGCUGAGCCAAGGCGUGAUGACGAGGAUCCUCGGAUCCGAAGUAGCUGAUACCCUGCUUCCAAGAAAAGCCUCUAAGCUUCAGUCAUGGCGUGACCGUACCGCAAACCGACACAGGUGGGCUGGUAGAGUAUACCAAGGCGCUUGAGAGAACUCAGGAGAAGGAACUCGGCAAAUUGAUACCGUAACUUCGGGAGAAGGUAUGCCCCGUUAGCUUGUAGGAGCACAUCCGAAGGGCGAAGGGGCCGCAGAGAAUCGGUGGCUGCGACUGUUUAUUAAAAACACAGCACUCUGCAAACACGAAAGUGGACGUAUAGGGUGUGACGCCUGCCCGGUGCCGGAAGGUUAAGUGAUGGGGUGCAAGCUCUUGAUCGAAGCCCCGGUAAACGGCGGCCGUAACUAUAACGGUCCUAAGGUAGCGAAAUUCCUUGUCGGGUAAGUUCCGACCUGCACGAAUGGCGUAACGAUGGCCACACUGUCUCCUCCUGAGACUCAGCGAAGUUGACAUGGUUGUGAAGAUGCAAUCUCCCCGCGGCUAGACGGAAAGACCCCAUGAACCUUUACUGUAGCUUUGCAUUGGACUUUGACGGGACUUGUGUAGGAUAGGUGGGAGGCUUUGAAACCGGGACGCCAGUUCCGGUGGAGCCAACCUUGAAAUACCACCCUGGUGUCGUCGAGGUUCUAACCCAGGCCUGUGAAUCCAGGUCGGGGACCGUGCAUGGUGGGCAGUUUGACUGGGGCGGUCUCCUCCCAAAAGGUAACGGAGGAGUACGAAGGUCACCUAGGUACGGUCGGACAUCGUACUGAUAGUGCAAUGGCAAAAGGUGGCUUGACUGCGAGACCCACACGUCGAGCAGGUGCGAAAGCAGGUCAUAGUGAUCCGGUGGUUCUGUAUGGAAGGGCCAUCGCUCAACGGAUAAAAGGUACUCUGGGGAUAACAGGCUGAUUCCGCCCAAGAGUUCACAUCGACGGCGGAGUUUGGCACCUCGAUGUCGGCUCAUCACAUCCUGGGGCUGUAG
This 1162-nucleotide ribosomal RNA is filed under the name bioreactor metagenome. Its description in RNAcentral is "bacterial LSU rRNA". It matches the Rfam family "Bacterial large subunit ribosomal RNA", at positions 1399 to 2558 of the family's 2925-position model. The record is from RNAcentral.